GACGGAGGGUGCAAGUGUUAUCCGGAAUCACUGGGCGUAAAGCGUCUGUAGGUCGUUUAAAAAGUCUACUGUUAAAAAUUGAAGCUUAACUUCAAAGGUGCCGUAGAAACUUUUAAACUUGAGUAUGGUAGGGGUAGAGGGAAUUUCCAGUGGAGCGGUGAAAUGCGUAGAUAUUGGAAAGACCACCAAUGGCGAAGGCACUCUACUGGGCCAUUACUGACACUGAGAGACGAAAGCUAGGGGAGCAAAUGGG
This 253-nucleotide ribosomal RNA is filed under the name uncultured bacterium. Its description in RNAcentral is "partial 16S ribosomal RNA". It matches the Rfam family "Bacterial small subunit ribosomal RNA", at positions 524 to 776 of the family's 1533-position model. The record is from RNAcentral.